UGAGGAAUAUUAGGCAAUGGGGGCAACCCUGACCUAGCCAUGCCGCGUGGGUGAAGAAGGUCCUAGGAUUGUAAAGCCCUUUCGACGGGGAAGAUGAUGACGGUACCCGUAGAAGAAGCCCCGGCUAACUUCGUGCCAGCAGCCGCGGUAAUACGAAGGGGGCUAGCGUUGUUCGGAAUUACUGGGCGUAAAGGGCGUGUAGGCGGCACAUUCAGUCAGAGGUGAAAGCCCCGGGCUCAACCUGGGAACUGCCUUUGAUACUGAUGAGCUAGAGUCCGGGAGAGGAUAGUGGAAUUCCCAGUGUAGAGGUGAAAUUCGUAGAUAUUGGGAAGAACACCGGUGGCGAAGGCGGCUAUCUGGACCGGUACUGACGCUGAGGCGCGAAAGCGUGGGGAGCAAACAGGAUUAGAUACCCCCGUAGUCC
This 424-nucleotide ribosomal RNA is filed under the name uncultured prokaryote. RNAcentral's name for it is "bacterial SSU rRNA". It matches the Rfam family "Bacterial small subunit ribosomal RNA", at positions 355 to 796 of the family's 1533-position model. The record is from RNAcentral.